This 751-nucleotide ribosomal RNA is filed under the name uncultured Fusobacterium sp. RNAcentral's name for it is "bacterial SSU rRNA". It matches the Rfam family "Bacterial small subunit ribosomal RNA", at positions 85 to 853 of the family's 1533-position model. The record is from RNAcentral. Lineage: Bacteria; Fusobacteriati; Fusobacteriota; Fusobacteriia; Fusobacteriales; Fusobacteriaceae.
UUCGGUUUGGGUGGCGGACGGGUGAGUAACGCGUAAAGAACUUGCCUCACAGUUAGGGACAACAUUUGGAAACGAAUGCUAAUACCUGAUAUUAUGAUUUUAGGGCAUCCUAAGAUUAUGAAAGCUAUAUGCGCUGUGAGAGAGCUUUGCGUCCCAUUAGCUAGUUGGAGAGGUAACGGCUCACCAAGGCGAUGAUGGGUAGCCGGCCUGAGAGGGUGAACGGCCACAAGGGGACUGAGACACGGCCCUUACUCCUACGGGAGGCAGCAGUGGGGAAUAUUGGACAAUGGACCAAAAGUCUGAUCCAGCAAUUCUGUGUGCACGAUGACGUUUUUCGGAAUGUAAAGUGCUUUCAGUUGGGAAGAAAAAAAUGACGGUACCAACAGAAGAAGUGACGGCUAAAUACGUGCCAGCAGCCGCGGUAAUACGUAUGUCACAAGCGUUAUCCGGAUUUAUUGGGCGUAAAGCGCGUCUAGGUGGUUAUGUAAGUCUGAUGUGAAAAUGCAGGGCUCAACUCUGUAUUGCGUUGGAAACUGCAUGACUAGAGUACUGGAGAGGUAAGCGGAACUACAAGUGUAGAGGUGAAAUUCGUAGAUAUUUGUAGGAAUGCCGAUGGGGAAGCCAGCUUACUGGACAGAUACUGACGCUAAAGCGCGAAAGCGUGGGUAGCAAACAGGAUUAGAUACCCUGGUAGUCCACGCCGUAAACGAUGAUUACUAGGUGUUGGGGGUCGAACCUCAGCGCCCAAGCU